RNAcentral lists this transfer RNA (72 nucleotides) under Salmo salar (Atlantic salmon). It matches the Rfam family "tRNA". Rfam says of the family: Transfer RNA (tRNA) molecules are approximately 80 nucleotides in length. Lineage: Eukaryota; Metazoa; Chordata; Actinopteri; Salmoniformes; Salmonidae. RNAcentral also lists the same sequence under 1 other name. The record is from Rfam by way of RNAcentral.
UCCCGUUUGGCUCAGUUGGUAGAGCAUGGUGUUUGCAACGCCAGGGUUGUGGGUUCGAUUCCCACGGGGGAC